AUUGCCUCUAGAGGCGUUGCGGGUGUGGCUGCUGUGUCACACGUGCGUCAGUGGGAGGCAGAGAGGAGAGAGAGGCCGUGUCUACACAGUGUUCUGACCUGUGAACAUCUGAAUGAUUAAUAGCCUAACACU
Small nucleolar RNA from Psammomys obesus (fat sand rat), 132 nucleotides. RefSeq annotates it as small nucleolar RNA SNORA17. The record is from RefSeq and is a predicted model, not a curated record. The transcript has a single exon. Lineage: Eukaryota; Metazoa; Chordata; Mammalia; Rodentia; Muridae.